This is a long non-coding RNA of Erpetoichthys calabaricus (reedfish), 361 nucleotides long. RefSeq lists it as uncharacterized. Lineage: Eukaryota; Metazoa; Chordata; Cladistia; Polypteriformes; Polypteridae. The transcript has 2 exons. The record is from RefSeq and is a predicted model, not a curated record.
UCCAACAUUGAUGGAUUAAAAGCCAGAAGUCUGCAUGACCAUCAUCAUCAAGUCCUUCCGUGAGAACCCUAAAUACAAAGAGGACUGUUUCAUUUAUGUGAGGUAGAAUGCCCAGAGGGGACUGGGCGGUCUCAUGGUUUGGAACCCCUACAGAUUUUAUUUUUUUCUCCACCGUCUGGAGUUUUUUUUUGUUUUUUCUGUCCUCCCUGGCCAUCGGACCUUACUCUUAUUCUAUGUUAACUAAUGUUGUCUUAUUUUAAUUUCUUACUUUGUCUUUUAUUUUUCUUUUCUUCAUUAUAUAAAGCACUUUGAGCUACUUUUUUGUAUGAAAAUGUGCUAUAUAAAUAAAUGUUGUUGUUGU